AAAAAGGCAAACCAUGCGUUUCCGUGUCCAACUUUGACUGUCCGUCUUAUAUGAUUUUUUUUUAUAAUUCGUAUUUUCGUUGUUGUUAGAUGAUAAAAUAUGAUUAAUAUUUUAUGCGUAACUUGUCCUUUUAAUUUUUUUUAUAAUUUUUUAAAAUAAGACGGACGGUCAAACGUUGGAUACGGAAACCAAUGUUUGUCUUUUUU
Non-coding RNA from Oryza nivara, 206 nucleotides. The record is from Rfam. Lineage: Eukaryota; Viridiplantae; Streptophyta; Magnoliopsida; Poales; Poaceae.